Harpia harpyja (harpy eagle) is the source of this 465-nucleotide long non-coding RNA. RefSeq lists it as uncharacterized. NCBI's taxonomy places the organism in Eukaryota, Metazoa, Chordata, Aves, Accipitriformes, Accipitridae. The transcript is spliced from 3 exons. The record is from RefSeq and is a predicted model, not a curated record.
AAUCAAUUUUGAAAUGUCAUUUUACUAAUAGCUUAUAUUUAUACAUUGAGUUUAUUUAACCCACUUUAAAUAACAUUAGCUAAUGUUUCUACUUGGAAUGAAAGAUUGUGAAGAGUCAUCUUAUUUUGAAGAGUUGUUAACUGUGGUAAAAAUAUAGAUUUUAAUACCCAUCUUAUUUUAGUUCUAAUACUUGGUAAUUGCCAGGUAUCAUCUUUUCGAUUUACCCAAUUCUACCAUCGAGGCCACAAGGGAGAUUUCUUCCAGAGAGAGGAUAGAGUUAUUAAGUCUAAAGUCCAUUAUUUGUUUUUGUCCUUCAUAAAAAGAUGGUCCUGACUCUGGGUGGAUCUAACAAGGAUCCUGGAACUCCAGUUCUGCUUUUUGGAUUUACCAGGAACUUCCCAGUCCAGACGAUUGGAAUUACAGCAUUAUUUACUUUGACUGGUAUAAUCUUCUGCUUUCGGUAAC